This 253-nucleotide ribosomal RNA is filed under the name uncultured bacterium. RNAcentral's name for it is "partial 16S ribosomal RNA". It matches the Rfam family "Bacterial small subunit ribosomal RNA", at positions 524 to 776 of the family's 1533-position model. The record is from RNAcentral.
UACGUAGGGUGCAAGCGUUGUCCGGAAUUAUUGGGCGUAAAGAGCUCGUAGGUGGCCUGUCGCGUCGGCUGUGAAAACUCGGGGCUCAACUCCGAGCUUGCAGUCGAUACGGGCAGGCUAGAGUUCGGCAGGGGAGACUGGAAUUCCUGGUGUAGCGGUGAAAUGCGCAGAUAUCAGGAGGAACACCGGUGGCGAAGGCGGGUCUCUGGGCCGAUACUGACGCUGAGGCACGAAAGCGUGGGGAGCAAACAGG